UACGGAGGAUGCAAGCGUUAUCCGGGAUUUAUUGGGUUUAAAGGGUGCGCAGGUGGUUUAAUAAGUCAGUGGUGAAAGUCUGUCGCUUAACGGUAGGAUUGCCAUUGAUACUGUUAGACUUGAAUAUGGGUGAGGUAAGUGGAAUGUGUAGUGUAGCGGUGAAAUGCACAGAUAUUACACAGAACACCGAUUGCGAAGGCAGCUUACUAAUCCAUUAUUGACGCUGAGGCACGAAAGCGUGGGGAUCAAACAGGAUUAGA
This 260-nucleotide ribosomal RNA is filed under the name uncultured prokaryote. RNAcentral describes it as "partial 16S ribosomal RNA". It matches the Rfam family "Bacterial small subunit ribosomal RNA", at positions 524 to 782 of the family's 1533-position model. The record is from RNAcentral.